CCUACGAGUGGCUGCAGUAGGGACUUUUCGGCAAUGGGGGGAACCCUGACCGAGCAACGCCGCGUGAACGAAGAAGUUAUUCGUAAUGUAAAGUUCUUUUAACAGGGAAGACAGAGAAAUUUGACGGUACCUGAAGAAUAAUCUCCGGCUACCUACGUGCCAGCAGCCGCGGUAAUACGUAGGGUGCGAGCGUUAUCCGGAAUUAUUGGGCGUAAAGAGUGCGUAGAUGGCAUAGUACGUCUUUUGUAAAAAUGCUGGGCACAACCCAGUAGGGCAAAAGAUACUGCAAAGCUAGAGUAUGACAGAGGCAAGUGGAACUACAUGUGUAGCGGUAAAAUGCGUAAAUAUAUGUAAGAACACCAGUGGCGAAGGCGGCUUGCUGGGUCGAUACUGACAUUGAGGCACGAAAGCGUGGGGAGCAAACAGGAUUAGAUACCCUUGUAGUC
This 446-nucleotide ribosomal RNA is filed under the name uncultured bacterium. Its description in RNAcentral is "partial 16S ribosomal RNA". It matches the Rfam family "Bacterial small subunit ribosomal RNA", at positions 338 to 795 of the family's 1533-position model. The record is from RNAcentral.